CGGUGUUUAACUGGCGUGAUGUGGGACGUCCUACCGGUGGGCUUAGCCUCGCGAGGGGCGGCCCAACUAAUAUCCCGUCGCGGUGCUCUUUACUGAGUGUCGAGUCGGGCCGGUACGUUUACUUUGAACAAAUUAGAGUGCUUAACGCAGGCUAUCCUCGCCUGAAUACUGCGUGCAUGGAAUAAUGGAAUAGGACCUCGGUUCUAUUUUGUUGGUUUUCGGAACCCCGAGGUAAUGAUUAAUAGGGACAGAUGGGGGCAUUCGUAUUGCGACGUUAGAGGUGAAAUUCUUGGAUCGUCGCAAGACGGACAGAAGCGAAAGCAUUUGCCAAAAAUGUUUUCAUUAAUCAAGAACGAAAGUUAGAGGUUCGAAGGCGAUCAGAUACCGCCCUAGUUCUAACCAUAAACGAUGCCAGCUAGCGAUCCGCCGAAGUUCCUCCGAUGACUCGGCGGGCAGCUUCCGGGAAACCAAAGCUUUUGGGUUCCGGGGGAAGUAUGGUUGCAAAGCUGAAACUUAAAGGAAUUGACGGAAGGGCACCACCAGGAGUGGAGCCUGCGGCUUAAUUUGACUCAACACGGGAAACCUCACCAGGCCCAGACACCGGAAGGAUUGACAGAUUGAUAGCUCUUUCUUGAUUCGGUGGGUGGUGGUGCAUGGCCGUUCUUAGUUGGUGGAGCGAUUUGUCUGGUUAAUUCCGAUAACGAACGAGACUCUAGCCUGCUAAAUAGGCGUACCUUAUGGUAUCGCGAAGGCCCCCGGCUUCGGCCGGUGGGUUUUUACUACCAACGUACAAACAAAUCUUCUUAGAGGGACAGGCGG
RNAcentral lists this ribosomal RNA (819 nucleotides) under uncultured eukaryote. Its description in RNAcentral is "SSU rRNA". It matches the Rfam family "Eukaryotic small subunit ribosomal RNA", at positions 629 to 1426 of the family's 1831-position model. The record is from RNAcentral.